GGCCCCAUCGUCUAGCCCGGUUUAGGACGCCAGGUUCUCAUCCUGGUAACAGCGGUUCAAAUCCGCUUGGGGCUA
Molecule: non-coding RNA, 75 nt
Organism: Candidatus Buchananbacteria bacterium
Lineage: Bacteria; Candidatus Buchananiibacteriota
Source: Rfam